RNAcentral lists this ribosomal RNA (366 nucleotides) under uncultured organism. RNAcentral describes it as "bacterial SSU rRNA". It matches the Rfam family "Bacterial small subunit ribosomal RNA", at positions 526 to 896 of the family's 1533-position model. The record is from RNAcentral.
CGGAGGGUCCAAGCGUUAUCCGGAAUCAUUGGGUUUAAAGGGUCCGUAGGCGGUUUAAUAAGUCAGUGAUGAAAGCCCAUCGCUCAACGAUGGAACGGCCAUUGAUACUGUUAAACUUGAAUUAUUAGGAAGUAACUAGAAUAUGUAGUGUAGCGGUGAAAUGCUUAGAGAUUACAUGGAAUACCAAUUGCGAAGGCAGGUUACUACUAAUAUAUUGACGCUGAUGGACGAAAGCGUGGGGAGCGAACAGGAUUAGAUACCCUGGUAGUCCACGCCGUAAACGAUGGAUACUAGCUGUUCGGAGCAAUCUGAGUGGCUAAGCGAAAGUGAUAAGUAUCCCACCUGGGGAGUACGUUCGCAAGAAUG